This 1965-nucleotide long non-coding RNA is filed under the name Gossypium barbadense (sea-island cotton). RNAcentral describes it as "long non-coding RNA (GBAR_LNC005235)". The record is from RNAcentral. Lineage: Eukaryota; Viridiplantae; Streptophyta; Magnoliopsida; Malvales; Malvaceae.
AGUAACUUGGGAUGAUAUUAUAGAGUAAGAGUUCCACAAAGAAAGUUCACAGGUGAAAAUUCAUUACAUGAUUGUAUCAUUUAAGGAAUUAAGGCAACUACAAAUGGAAAAAGUGGGAGAUUUGAGGGCUUUUUGCCCCAACAAAACUGCUCAAUCAACAACUUUAAUGAGCCUGACUCCCACCCUCGGGGCUGUGCUCUUCCGCACCAGCCUCUUCCCAACUUCAAAUCCGAAUUCCAUGAAAUUGCUUCUCCAUCUCAUGAUCCUGCCGAAGGUUUCGAUUGUCAUUAAAAAGAUGAAUACAAAGAAAUAAGGCAGACAGAAUAAACUUCUAACCAGAGAUUGACAGAUCAGCCCAACCCUGCAAAUGGAUAAGCAAUCACACAUAUGACCAAAAGUACAGGGUACCAAACAAGGAAACAACAGCACAAUGUGCUACAGAUUCUGCAUGCAAGCUUAUGAGUCAUGACUACAAGUUCACAUUCUCAUAACAUAUAAGAAGGCACAAUAUCAAGUCCAAAGGAAAAGAAAUAUGCAUACACACACAGACACACACACACACACACACGUGUAUGCAUCUAUAUUAUAUAUUACAAGCUGCGGUAACUCAAUAGUCAUUUCAGGACCAAAAUCAUUGGGGAAAAAAAAGGCAAACCACAGUUCUUUCGAACUAUGAAACCUUGUCGCAUCUUCAGUUUGCCCUAAAAUCCAGAAAGCUUAUCAAAUAUCUGAACUUAGUUACUUGCCUCCGUCAUAUGCAUAAAAAAAUGGACCUAAAACUGCCAUUUUCCCUUUAAGUAAUAUCAAUAGAGCCCUUGCGCACAGAAAGAGCUCAGUUCCAUAGAUUUAAUUAGAUCUUCGAACUUAAAUCCAAUUUAACAACACUAGUCAACAAACCCGAAACAAGCCAAACUGAACAAAUAACCCAAAAUGACUGAACAAAAGCCUCUGGAACCUUUUUUUUUGGUAGGGUAAGUAAGAAUCAUACUGUAAAAGGUUCAUGCAUUUUAGCCAGAGAAAUUCAAAUUCUAGAGCAGACCCAAAACCAUCCAACUGAUUCGCAAUAAAUUUUUCAACUUUCAAAUGAAAAUAAAUAACAUAUCAUUAAGAUAUGCUUUCAAUUCUGCAGAGCAUGAUCUAGCAAGAGAAAUUCCCCAAUUCUGCUGCAAACCCCAAAUCAUCCAACUGACCUCACAAUAAAAAAAAAUUAAACUUUCAAAUGAAAACAAGGUUAUAAUAAAAAGAGAAAAAUGGGAGGGGGGAGGGGGGAGGGGGCAGGGGAGGCUCAGAUUCGCCUUUUUUCAGAUAAGAAAUAAAGCCGGUGGCUGCAACAAAAACAAGAGUUGCCCCGCCAAGCUACGGCCUUUUUUUCUUCAAAAAUCUGAAUUUAAUAACCCCACAAAGAAAAAAAUCAUCAUUGCCUCGUUGAGAUGAGGGGUUUUCGAGAGAAGGAGAAGAAAAAGAAGUAGAAAAGAAACAGUAUAGCAGAGACUGAGAAGCAGAAGAUAACGACGAUGGUGGCGAUGAUGAUGGAAGAUGGCGGGCGUGUUGAAAUGGAUGAUUUUAGUACACAAUCAAUGGGCUAUUGUUGUAGAUGAAGGUAUAUGUUGAGUGAAAUCAUAGGCUUCGCUAUCGAUCAGAGGAGGGGAGCAACCAACCUUUAUAGAACCAGCCACCUCCCCUGAGAGCAAUGCCUCAUUCUUAAACUAAUGAGCCUUCGUAAACCCUCAAACCUCCAUGAUUCCCUUUUAUAAUGUGUCAACCACAGGUCCCCCAUGUUUCUUCAUUAAAAAAAAAAAAAAAAAGAAAGUUGAGAUUCAAGAGCGUCUCUGGGCGAGUUUUUUUUUUUUUUUUCCAUAAAUGAUUUACUUGUCUCUAUAGUCCAUAAUUAAAAAAAUCAUUUUAGUUAUUUAUUUAAGUUUUUCUUUACUUUCAUCCAAUAUCAAAUCAACUCCCAAAGGUAAA